Small nucleolar RNA from Myotis lucifugus (little brown bat), 151 nucleotides. Ensembl annotates it as small nucleolar RNA SNORA81. The record is from Ensembl. Lineage: Eukaryota; Metazoa; Chordata; Mammalia; Chiroptera; Vespertilionidae.
GAUUUCUUGGAUAUGACCCCAAAAGCACAGGCAACAAAAGCAAAAAAAUAUACACACAAGAAGAAAAGUAAGUGCACUAGAUGAUAAAGACUAAAGUGGACCUCUUUCUUAAUGUCCAGUGUUAUUUGUCUUAAAAUUUGGUGCAAUGUGU